This is a long non-coding RNA of Rhineura floridana, 578 nucleotides long. RefSeq lists it as uncharacterized. The record is from RefSeq and is a predicted model, not a curated record. The transcript is spliced from 3 exons. NCBI's taxonomy places the organism in Eukaryota, Metazoa, Chordata, Lepidosauria, Squamata, Rhineuridae.
GCGAGGCCGGCAGAGGGGACGGAGCGGUGAGGCUGCCCCCUCCCAAGCGCCCGCCCCCUUUGGUGCCGCCAUUAACAGGGAACGUGCGGCGGCGGUGCUUACACGGGAGUAAGGCCCGCUGUAGUCGGCCUGGUUUUCUUCCGAGUAGACCCCUGAGGGCUCGUGCUCCGCUUUGCCAGCUCACGGCGCGGCCCGGCUGUUUACUGCUGACUGUUCGAGUUGUCAGUCGCCUGUUGCGCAAAGGAGGAGAAGCACCAAGUGCCCUUGAGAGCCCAGAUGAAGCGCUGACGUAAUGGUGCAUCUUGAAAUUGUUGUAGCCCGCCCUGGGACCUUUGGCUGAAGGGCCAAGAAGCUCAGAUGGCGAGGAUCAAAGGCUACCAUCAAAGCCGAAGCGGAGACAUUCAGAAGCACUGUGCCUGCUGUAGCUGAGCAACGCCAAGUGUGGUUACCCUGUAGUAAAAUGAAAAAUUAAAGAGUCAAGCAGCCAUUGAGGCUUUGAUGCCUUCUGCAGACAUUUUAUUCAGUCAGAGAGCCAAUCCCAGCCAGGCCCACAGACAGUUUCAUGAAACCACAGAACA